RNAcentral lists this ribosomal RNA (365 nucleotides) under uncultured bacterium. RNAcentral's name for it is "partial 16S ribosomal RNA". It matches the Rfam family "Bacterial small subunit ribosomal RNA", at positions 338 to 695 of the family's 1533-position model. The record is from RNAcentral.
CCUACGGGUGGCAGCAGUGGGGAAUAUUCCGCAAUGGGCGAAAGCCUGACGCAGCGACGCCGCGUGAGGGAUGCAGGUCUUCGGAUCGUAAACCUCUGUCAGCAGGGAAGAACGGUCACUGUGCUAAUCAGCAGUGAAUUGACGGUACCUGCAAAGGAAGCACCGGCUAACUCCGUGCCAGCAGCCGCGGUGAUACGGAGGGUGCGAGCGUUAAUCGGAAUUACUGGGCGUAAAGCGCUGGUAGGCGGUAUGUCUAGUCAAGGGUGAAAUCCCCGCGCUCAACGUGGGGACGGCCUUUGAAACUGGCAAACUGUAGGGUGUGAGAGGAUAGUGGAAUUCCAGGUGUAGGAGUGAGAAGCGUAGAU